CCUACGGGUGGCUGCAGUAGGGAAUAUUGGACAAUGGGCGCAAGCCUGAUCCAGCCAUCCCGCGUGCAGGAUUAAGGCCCUCUGGGUUGUAAACUUCUUUUCUUUGGGAAUAAAAACUCCGAUUCAUCGGAGCUUGCAGGUACCAGAGGAAUAAGCACCGGCUAACUCCGUGCCAGCAGCCGCGGUAAUACGGAGGGUGCAAGCGUUAUCCGGAUUCACGGGUUUUAAGGUGUGUUUGGAAGUCAUUGUUGAAAGCCCGGAGCUCAACUCCGGAACUGCCAUUGAUACUGCUUAGCUUGAAUCAGGUCGAGGUGGAUGGAAUAUUACAUGUAGCGGUGAAAUGCUUAGAUAUGUAAUAGAACACCGAUUGCGAAGGCAGUUCACUAGGCCUGUAUUGACACUGAGGCACGAAAGCGUGGGGAUCAAACAGGAUUAGAUACCCUUGUAGUC
This 450-nucleotide ribosomal RNA is filed under the name uncultured bacterium. Its description in RNAcentral is "partial 16S ribosomal RNA". It matches the Rfam family "Bacterial small subunit ribosomal RNA", at positions 338 to 795 of the family's 1533-position model. The record is from RNAcentral.